GACUCCAUGGCAUCAACACGUAGUUUCCAUGGCAAGCUUACUCUGCUCAAAUUAUGUUUGUUACAUAGAAGAAACAUGCAUAGAAAAAAAAGUCCACAACAGAUAACUAAAACAUUGGUUGUUAUCAACUGUGAUCACCAACCUCACAACGAUGCUAUGAAUUCUCAUACUCAGUGUAAUAUAUCGCAUCUGACGAAAAGUGGCUUUGGACUUCUUCCAGCCUACCACUUCAUCAUGUACUACCUAUUCAAAAUAGCAAGAGUGUAUAGUAAGAAACUGGACAAGAACCAUCCCCUGGAAGCUCCUGUUCUACCCCAGCAAGAACAGACACAUCUUCUGCGACCGUACGUAGGUACGAAAGCGCCGGCAAAGCACACCAAGGCACCAGGCUUGCAAAACAGGUAUAACGGUCGAAAUAAGAGCAGACAUCCCGCUCACACGCAACCACCAAAUAUAAGCAUAAAACGGAAGUCACACGAGACUGAAAAAUAAGACGACCCCUGGAUAGAUCCGGAACAGAGAGACGGUCAGUCAAUCAACAACCAUGACAACAUGCACAAAAAGAUAAAUAUAUCUUGAGCCACAGAUAACGCACAUGCAUUGGAAAAGGAGAGCAAAUCUUGAGCAUCAGCAGCAGGUUGCAGAUGCAGAAACAGAACAGUUCUUCCAACCUACAGAAUGCACAUGGACAGAACCAUAAGAACAUAGUAGGCAUAAUAAUGUAGGCAUAGAGCGCAUCUAGUCCAUCAACCGCCAAAAAUACAUAUGGAAGUCCAUUUAGUAAACGCAGAGCAGCGUGAUGGCAUCGGAAUAAUUCUUUUUACCAAAGGAAAUAACAUUGCUCAUUAUAUUAAGACACUAUAUUCCCAAUUCCUCUGCCUCCUGAACUGGGACUGCACACAAUUAACAACAAUAUCUGACAUAGAGGUUGAUAAAGCUUAUUAUACUGUCUAGACUGUACUGUUUGAUUCCACACCCGCGACUAAGAUCAACUUCUUUAUUAAAAUGUUGCUUUCUCAGGUGGAUCAUCUAGAGCCUAAAGAGGAAAGUAUGCUGAAGGUCCCUAGUUAUAGCAGUCAUGUGCAGUUUGUUCUGUUGAAAUCCUUUGCCUAUCCUCUUGAAGAAGGGUUUGACGAGAUUACUGUCGCAACAACAAGAACUGAAACAAUGCUUGGCGAUAAAAACAUAGCCGUUCAUCCUGAGGAUAAAAGGUAUAAGCAUCACCAUGGAAAGCAUGGCAUUCACCCGUUCAAUGGCUGAAAACUCAAAAUAAUCCGCGAUGCUGUUAGUGGAACCCACUUUUGGUACUGAAGACGACAAGCAAGCGAUAUUAAACUUCUCUAUCCAUGAAGCAUAGCAACAUACACAUAAUAAUGGCUUGGGAUAAUGAAUAGAAAACCCCAGAAGCUAAAACAAAUAGUAGAAUUUCAUAUGGAAUACCAUAGGCAUCAAAUUGCAAUAUUCACCUUAAAUCCAAAAUGGGCAGCUGAAUUUAAGUACGAAACAAGAAGUGGAAACAGUGCCCAGCGUAGCUGAACUGAAGAAGGACCUCAUCUACAAUCCAAUAAUAAAUUCCUAACAUGACGGCAUGAAAGACCCCGCCACAAGAACUCACGUCUGCUGGGGGAGUGAUAAAGGAAAUAUAUCUGCAAAAAAAAGACUAACUGGGCAGCACCAAAUCCUGUUUCCAUGAAGCUAUAAAAACACAAGAACUCAUGUCUGCUGGUAGUGUUAUAAAGGAAAUAUGUGAAUAUGUACAUGUAAGGUUGCCUCAUUUCUGAAAACACAAAUCCACCCUAACUGAAAGCACAUGAAUAAAAUGCAGAUUCUCUCUUCUUUGAAGAUGUUACAUGACUCGGCAUCUUCCUUUAGGAAAGGACAAUAGUAGAGAAUCAAUAGUGCAAUCAAGAUCUGUAGGUAAACAAAGAAAGAAUUUUGGUCACCACAAACCUCAUUUAGCCUCGUUGUGAUCUCUUAUCUUCCUCAUGUUUACAUCAAUCACAAACAGGAGCAUCAAAAUGAGAUAACAAAGCUUAACAGGAGGGAGAAAAAUCACCUUGAUCUUCUUCAAAUCUCUGGCUAAAUUCUUCUUAUUCUUCCCUUUGUCCUCAGAUCUGCACACGUCUAUGUAUAGAUAACUAAUCAGUUUUGCUAAAGCACAAGUUUAAAAGUGAGUGAUGGAGGAAAUUAGAGGCAAAGAGAGGAGCACCUCGGCAAGAUUCUCGAGGAAGUCCCCUUCCACUUCCCCCACUGCAGCCGAUGCGAUCGUCCAUCGAUCUAUCUCCAUGCUUGGUGGUAGUCGGUGGGGAGUGGAAGAGGAAGGUGAGGUCAUGGCGUACCGUACAAGAUCUCGGCCUUCCUUGCCAUGGCCGAUUUGAUUGUGCCGGAAGCCAUGGGUGGUUGGGGAGAACGAAUUGGAGGACGAUGUUGAGCACAACCGUUCCUCACCAUCGACCAACUCGGCUAGUGCACAGCGUCCAGGCGCCGCAGUCGCUCCAAUGCUCGCCGCCGCUGCCGCCGCCGCAGCCAGCAUCUUACUGCCGAUGUGAAGUGGAGAGCCGGGAAGGUGGAGGGAGGAGGAAGAGAGAGGAGGAGACGAGAGGGUGCUAGGUUCGGUCGGCUCGGGAACGCACGUCGCGUGCGGUGCGGGAGGAGACGCGCACAGGAUUGGACGAAGAGUCAGCCAGGCUGCCAGGCCCCUCUCUCCAGUGGCCGACGAGACGCAGCCUCUCACCGCAAC
This 2740-nucleotide long non-coding RNA is filed under the name Triticum aestivum (bread wheat). Its description in RNAcentral is "long non-coding RNA (TAES_LNC002323)". Lineage: Eukaryota; Viridiplantae; Streptophyta; Magnoliopsida; Poales; Poaceae. The record is from RNAcentral.